GGGGGGGGGGGGGGGGGGGGGUGGGGGAGGGGGGGGGGGGGAAGAGAGGAGGAGGUUGCUGGUGUGGCGUUAGGGGGGGGCGGGUGAGUAACAGGUGGGUAACCUAGGUAUAAGACUGGGAUAACUUCGGGAAAGCGGAGCUAAUACCGGAUAAUAUAUUGAACCGCAUGGUUCAAUAGUGAAAGACGGUUUUGCUGUCACUUAUAGAUGGAUCCGCGCCGCAUUAGCUAGUUUGUAAGGUAACGGCUUACCAAGGCAACGAUGCGUAGGCGACCUGAGAGGGUGAUCGGCCACACUGGAACUGAGACACGGUCCAGACGCCUACGGGAGGCAGCAGUAGGGAAUCUUCCGCAAUGGGCGAAAGCCUGACGGAGCAACGCCGCGUGAGUGAUGAAGGUCUUCGGAUCGUAAAACUCUGUUAUUAGGGAAGAACAAAUGUGUAAGUAACUAUGCACGUCUUGACGGUACCUAAUCAGAAAGCCACGGCUAACUACGUG
Molecule: ribosomal RNA, 497 nt
Filed under: uncultured bacterium
Lineage: Bacteria
Description: partial 16S ribosomal RNA
Rfam family: Bacterial small subunit ribosomal RNA
Source: RNAcentral